UACGUAGGGUCCGAGCGUUGUCCGGAAUUAUUGGGCGUAAAGAGCUCGUAGGCGGUUUGUCGCGUCUGCUGUGAAAUCUCGAGGCUCAACCUCGGGUCUGCAGUGGGUACGGGCAGACUGGAGUGCGGUAGGGGAGAAUGGAAUUCCUGGUGUAGCGGUGGAAUGCGCAGAUAUCAGGAGGAACACCGAUGGCGAAGGCAGUUCUCUGGGCCGUAACUGACGCUGAGGAGCGAAAGCGUGGGGAGCGAACAGG
RNAcentral lists this ribosomal RNA (253 nucleotides) under uncultured bacterium. RNAcentral's name for it is "partial 16S ribosomal RNA". It matches the Rfam family "Bacterial small subunit ribosomal RNA", at positions 524 to 776 of the family's 1533-position model. The record is from RNAcentral.